This is a non-coding RNA of Salvia hispanica, 1715 nucleotides long. The record is from RefSeq and is a predicted model, not a curated record. NCBI's taxonomy places the organism in Eukaryota, Viridiplantae, Streptophyta, Magnoliopsida, Lamiales, Lamiaceae.
UUUUGCAUUUGAUAUUCAGCUUCAACGUUGUCAAAUAACCACCACCACACGUCCUCACCCCGGCCUCCAUUAAUGGCGACAUCUCCAAUUCUCCUCAUCUUCUGCCUCUCUCUCCUCGCCGCUGCCUCAACGACGUCCGAAGCCACCUCUGCCCACGACGAAUUGAUAAACUACGGCUUCCCCGUCGGCCUUCUCCCCGCCGACAUCGACUCCUACACCCUCAAUCACACCUCCGGCGCCUUCACGGUACUGCUUGGCGAUAAGUGCCGCGUCACGCUGCCUCCGGAUAACUACUUGGCCUCCUAUUCCAAGCGAAUUACUGGUAAGAUCGACGGGAAUCGGAUCGCCGAGCUCGACGGUAUCAGCGUUAGGGCGUUCUUCAAGUGGUGGGGAAUCACUGGCAUCAGAUCCAAUGGCCAGGAUUUGGUGUUCGAGGUUGGUAUGGUCACCGCCAAGUAUCCUUCGAAGAAUUUCGACGUAUCGCCGCCCUGCGAAGGCCGCCGCUCUUCCUCCUCCUAGAGAGAGAUAAUCUAGGUCUUUACUUCGAGCAGCUAUUCAUAAUUCGAGUACUAUAUGUUGAGAAAUGGUGAAAGAUUGAUGUGGCGAUUGCAAAACUUCUUUACUACUAGUAUUUGUUUCACAACUGACAAUGUGCUCAACUUAAAUGUAACACUGGUGGCCUAAAGGGUCUAAACCCAUCGAGUUGGGGUUCCAGUCCUAAUGCAAUGAGACAUUAGUUGUAUAAGCAACUACUUUGACAUUCGUACUCAUAUUGCCAAAAUUGUUAAAUUUAAGUUGAGUCCCUUCAAAUAGCAUUCCAACUUUUGUUCUUAAUGGAUGUGAGAUGCUCACAUUGCAUUAAUGCAUUGUGCUAUGAGCUGAUUGAUCUCCAUAUAUACCUUUUUACACAUGUUCAUCUUUGUGCACACUUGUAGCCAACAUUUUUGUACAGCCGGAGAUUAUAGACGAGUUAUAGGAUAACCAUGGUCAAAUUUGAGCCGUACUCUUGAGUCUUGUCUUUAUUAUUUUUAAUAAAGCAAUUUUUUUUGUGUUUUUGUUGUUUUAAAGAAUUGUCCUUUGGACACUGGUCAUUGAUAUGCUUGGAUGGUUUUGGACAUUUUGGAGCAGAAACUGAAAAUAAUUUAUUGGAAGUGGUGAUAUCUUUGGUGAGAAGCACACUAAAAUUCUGAUUUGUUUUAAUUCUACUUUUAAGAGGGAAUUGAGUAGAAAUUUGUUCUUGAAAAACAUAAAACUCGUUUUUUAGUAAUACAUGAUUAAGAUUCUCCUUAUAUGCUGCCAUUGCAAAAAUCUUAUGCAUCAUGGGUAAUUGUUUGCUGAUGAUAAUAAUGUAUUGUGGAAUCCGAAUCUAUAUAUUGCUCCAUUAUACUGUAGUUACUUUCACGCACAGUUUCUGGAUGACGUACUGUAAGAGUAGAGUUACAGAAUCAUGGGCGCAAAAUUUUGAUUUCACAAGCAGGAAGCAUUUGGAUGCCUUGGGGCCUUGGCACUCUCCAAUAAGCUGUGAUGUCAUUUAAAAACCCUGUAACUUAUCAUUUAAAAAUUUUAUAUGGUAGAAGCUGUGUUUGGAUUCAAAUGACAUUAAUAUAUAUGGUAGGUAACACUAGUGAACUAUUGGAUUGUCUUGCAUUAUUAUUGUAUACUUGAUUUGCUCAACUCAUUUAUAUUACUUGGGUAAAAGAGUGAUUUGGGUAGAA